Molecule: ribosomal RNA, 428 nt
Filed under: uncultured bacterium
Lineage: Bacteria
Description: bacterial SSU rRNA
Rfam family: Bacterial small subunit ribosomal RNA
Source: RNAcentral
AAUCAACGCUGGCGGCGUGCCUCAGACAUGCAAGUCGAACGAUUAAAGCUCUCUUCGGAGAGUGUAUAGAGUGGCGCACGGGUGAGUAACACGUAAGUAAUCUACCCUCGAGUGGGGAAUAACAACCGGAAACGGUUGCUAAUACCGCAUAAUGCAGCGGCACCGCAAGGUGACAGUUGUUAAAGAUUUAUCGCUUGAGGAGGAGCUUGCGGCAGAUUAGCUAGUUGGUAGGGUUACGGCUUACCAAGGCUACGAUCUGUAACCGGUCUAAGAGGACGGUCGGUCACACUGACACUGAAUAACGGGUCAGACUCCUACGGGAGGCAGCAGUCGGGAAUUUUGGGCAAUGGCGAAAGCCUGACCCAGCAACGCCGCGUGAAGGAUGAAGUAUUUCGGUAUGUAAACUUCGAAAGAAUAGGAAGAAUUAA